UGGCUCUCGCAUCGAUGAAGAACGCAGCGAAAUGCGAUAAGUAAUGUGAAUUGCAGAAUUUAGUGAAUCAUCGAAUCUUUGAACGCACAUUGCGCCCACUGGUAUUCCGGUGGGCAUGCCUGUCCGAGCGUCGUCUACACCCCUCGGCCCUGGCCGGUGUUGGGCCGUCCCGCGUGGAGGCCCGCAAGACGUGAGCCCGUUGGCGGUCGAUUCCGGUUGACAGGAGUUGACUGCGGCCGCGGCGGAGCACAGAGCGCUAGCAAUAGCAAUUUCUGACCUCGGAUCAGGUAGGGAUACCCGCUGA
RNAcentral lists this unclassified non-coding RNA (304 nucleotides) under uncultured fungus. RNAcentral describes it as "partial contains 5.8S ribosomal RNA and internal transcribed spacer 2". The stretch from base 1 to 133 matches the Rfam family "5.8S ribosomal RNA", at positions 22 to 154 of the family's 154-position model. Lineage: Eukaryota; Fungi. The record is from RNAcentral.